This 422-nucleotide ribosomal RNA is filed under the name uncultured bacterium. RNAcentral describes it as "bacterial SSU rRNA". It matches the Rfam family "Bacterial small subunit ribosomal RNA", at positions 917 to 1341 of the family's 1533-position model. The record is from RNAcentral.
GGGCCCGCACAAGCGGUGGAGUAUGUGGUUUAAUUCGAUGCAACGCGAAGAACCUUACCAGGGUUUGACAUCCUGCGAAUCUCUUGGAAACGAGAGAGUGCCUUCGGGAACGCAGUGACAGGUGGUGCAUGGCUGUCGUCAGCUCGUGUCGUGAGAUGUUGGGUUAAGUCCCGCAACGAGCGCAACCCACGUCUUUAGUUGCCAGCAUUUAGUUGGGCACUCUAGAGAGACCGCCGGUGAUAAACCGGAGGAAGGUGUGGAUGACGUCAAGUCAUCAUGCCCCUUACAUCCUGGGCUACACACGUACUACAAUGCUACGGACAAAGGGCAGCUAUCCCGCGAGGGAAUGCAAAUCUCGAAAGUCUAUCUCAGUUCGGAUUGGAGUCUGCAACUCGACUCUAUGAAGGUGGAAUCGCUAGUAA